Molecule: ribosomal RNA, 497 nt
Filed under: uncultured bacterium
Lineage: Bacteria
Description: partial 16S ribosomal RNA
Rfam family: Bacterial small subunit ribosomal RNA
Source: RNAcentral
GAUGAACGCUGGCGGCGUGCCUAAUACAUGCAAGUCGAGCGAACAGACGAGGAGCUUACUCCUCUGACGUUAGCGGCGGACGGGUGAGUAACACGUGGAUAACCUACCUAUAGGACUGGGAUAACUUCGGGAAACCGGAGCUAAUACCGGAUAACAUGUUGAACCGCAUGGUUCAACAGUGAAAGACGGUCUUGCUGUUACUUAUAGAUGGAUCCGCGUCGCAUUAGCUAGUUGGUAAGGUAACGGCUUACCAAGGCAACGAUGCGUAGCCGACCUGAGAGGGUGAUCGGCCACACUGGAACUGAGACACGGUCCAGACUCCUACGGGAGGCAGCAGUAGGGAAUCUUCCGCAAUGGGCGAAAGCCUGACGGAGCAACGCCGCGUGAGUGAAGAAGGUCUUCGGAUCGUAAAACUCUGUUAUUAGGGAAGAACAAAUGUGUAAGUAACUAUGCACGUCUUGACGGUACCUAAUCAGAAAGCCACGGCUAACUACGUG